Molecule: ribosomal RNA, 433 nt
Filed under: uncultured bacterium
Lineage: Bacteria
Description: partial 16S ribosomal RNA
Rfam family: Bacterial small subunit ribosomal RNA
Source: RNAcentral
AACGAACGCUGGCGGCAUGCCUAACACAUGCAAGUCGAACGAGACCUUCGGGUCUAGUGGCGCACGGGUGCGUAACGCGUGGGAACCUGCCCGUAGGUUCGGAAUAACUCCCCGAAAGGGGUGCUAAUACCGGAUAAUGUCUUCGGACCAAAGAUUUAUCGCCUUGGGAUGGGCCCGCGUUGGAUUAGCUAGUUGGUAGGGUAAAAGCCUACCAAGGGGACGAUCCAUAGCUGGUCUGAGAGGAUGACCCGCCACACUGGGACUGAGACACGGCCCAGACUCCUACGGGAGGCAGCAGUGGGGAAUAUUGGACAAUGGGCGAAAGCCUGAUCCAGCAAUGCCGCGUGAGUGAUGAAGGCCUUAGGGUUGUAAAGCUCUUUUACCCGGGAUGAUAAUGACAGUACCGGGAGAAUAAGCACCGGCUAACUCCGUG